RNAcentral lists this ribosomal RNA (207 nucleotides) under uncultured bacterium. RNAcentral's name for it is "partial 16S ribosomal RNA". It matches the Rfam family "Bacterial small subunit ribosomal RNA", at positions 568 to 774 of the family's 1533-position model. The record is from RNAcentral.
CGCGUAGGUAGUUUGUUAAGUUGGAUGUGAAAGCCCCGGGCUCAACCUGGGAACUGCAUCCAAAACUGGCAAGCUAGAGUACGGUAGAGGGUGGUGGAAUUUCCUGUGUAGCGGUGAAAUGCGUAGAUAUAGGAAGGAACACCAGUGGCGAAGGCGACCACCUGGACUGAUACUGACACUGAGGUGCGAAAGCGUGGGGAGCAAACA